Molecule: microRNA precursor, 87 nt
Filed under: Tupaia belangeri (northern tree shrew)
Lineage: Eukaryota; Metazoa; Chordata; Mammalia; Scandentia; Tupaiidae
Description: miRNA (ENSTBEG00000017789.1)
Source: RNAcentral
UGCCCAGGUUCUAUUCUUGCACACCCCAUUGGCUGGUCAUCAUGGUGUGUACUGUUCCAGCAACUCAGGAGGCUGAGGCAGGAGGAU